This 114-nucleotide non-coding RNA is filed under the name Palpitomonas bilix. The record is from RNAcentral.
CAAAUGUGAAGCACAAAAGGAGUGGGGAGAGAGGGAGGAGAAAGAGGAGAGAAGGAAGGUAGUCGGGUUUUCAUUUUCAUUUUUUUUAUUCUUUUUUCUAUUCAUUUUCACCUU